GAUGAACGCUGGCGGCGUGCCUAAUACAUGCAAGUCGAGCGAACAGACGAGGAGCUUGCUCCUCUGACGUUAGCGGCGGACGGGUGAGUAACACGUGGAUAACCUACCUAUAAGACUGGGAUAACUUCGGGAAACCGGAGCUAAUACCGGAUCAUAUAUUGAACCGCAUGGUUCAAUAGUGAAAGACGGUUUUGCUGUCACUUAUAGAUGGAUCCGCGCCGCAUUAGCUAGUUGGUAAGGUAACGGCUUACCAAGGCAACGAUGCGUAGCCGACCUGAGAGGGUGAUCGGCCACACUGGAACUGAGACACGGUCCAGACUCCUACGGGAGGCAGCAGUAGGGAAUCUUCCGCAAUGGGCGAAAGCCUGACGGAGCAACGCCGCGUGAGUGAUGAAGGUCUUCGGAUCGUAAAGCUCUGUUAUUAGGGAAGAACAAAUGUGUAAGUAACUAUGCACGUCUUGACGGUACCUAAUCAGAAAGCCACGGCUAACUACGUG
Molecule: ribosomal RNA, 497 nt
Filed under: uncultured bacterium
Lineage: Bacteria
Description: partial 16S ribosomal RNA
Rfam family: Bacterial small subunit ribosomal RNA
Source: RNAcentral